GAUGAAGAACGUAGCGAAAUGCGAUACGUAAUGUGAAUUGCAAAUUCAGUGAAUCAUCGAGUCAUUGAACGCACAUUGCGCCCCCUGGUAUUCCGGGGGGCAUGCCUGUCCGAGCGUCAUUGCUGCCCUCAAGCAAGGCUUGUGUGUUGGGCCCCGUCCUCCGAUCCCGGGGGACGGGCCCGAAAGGCAGCGGCGGCACCGCGUCCGGUCCUCGAGCGUAUGGGGCUUUGUCACCCGCUCUGUAGGCCCGGCCGGCGCUUGCCGAUCAACCCAAAUUUUUAUCCAGGUUGACCUCGGAUCAGGUAGGGAUACCCGCUGAACUUAAGCAUAUCAAUAAGCGGAGGA
RNAcentral lists this unclassified non-coding RNA (345 nucleotides) under soil metagenome. RNAcentral's name for it is "partial contains 5.8S ribosomal RNA, internal transcribed spacer 2, and large subunit ribosomal RNA". The stretch from base 1 to 119 matches the Rfam family "5.8S ribosomal RNA", at positions 35 to 154 of the family's 154-position model. The record is from RNAcentral.